RNAcentral lists this long non-coding RNA (270 nucleotides) under Homo sapiens (human). Its description in RNAcentral is "non-protein coding RAMP2-AS1:23". Lineage: Eukaryota; Metazoa; Chordata; Mammalia; Primates; Hominidae. The record is from RNAcentral.
AUGCCCAAGAGAAAGGCUAAAGGGGAUGCUAAAGGAGACAAAGCCAAGGUGAAGGACGAACCAUAGAGAAGAUCCACAAGGUUGUCUGCUAAACCUGCUCCUCCAAAGCCACAGCCCAAGCCUAAAAAGGCCCCUGCAAAGAAGGGAGAGAAGAUACCCAAAGGGAAAAAGGGAAAAGCUGAUGCUGGCAAGGAGGGGAAUAACCCUGCAGAAAAUGGAGAUGCCAAAACAGACCAGGCACAGAAAGCUGAAGGUGCUGGAGUUGCCAAG